This 484-nucleotide ribosomal RNA is filed under the name uncultured bacterium. RNAcentral's name for it is "partial 16S ribosomal RNA". It matches the Rfam family "Bacterial small subunit ribosomal RNA", at positions 30 to 507 of the family's 1533-position model. The record is from RNAcentral.
AUUGAACGCUGGCGGCAGGCCUAACACAUGCAAGUCGAGCGGAUGAAGGGAGCUUGCUCCUGGAUUCAGCGGCGGACGGGUGAGUAAUGCCUAGGAAUCUGCCUGGUAGUGGGGGAUAACGUCCGGAAACGGGCGCUAAUACCGCAUACGUCCUGAGGGAGAAAGUGGGGGAUCUUCGGACCUCACGCUAUCAGAUGAGCCUAGGUCGGAUUAGCUAGUUGGUGGGGUAAAGGCCUACCAAGGCGACGAUCCGUAACUGGUCUGAGAGGAUGAUCAGUCACACGGGAACUGAGACACGGUCCAGACUCCUACGGUAGGCAGCAGUGGCGAAUAUUGGACAAUGGGCGAAAGCCUGAUCCAGUCAUGCCGCGUGUGUGGAGAAAGUCUUCGGAUUGUAAAGCCCUUUAAGUUGGGAGGAAGGGCAGUAAGUUAAUACCUAGCUGUUUUGACGGUACCAACAGAAUAAGCACCGGCUAACUUCGUG